This 401-nucleotide ribosomal RNA is filed under the name uncultured bacterium. RNAcentral describes it as "bacterial SSU rRNA". It matches the Rfam family "Bacterial small subunit ribosomal RNA", at positions 356 to 774 of the family's 1533-position model. The record is from RNAcentral.
GGGGAAUAUUGCACAAUGGGCGAAAGCCUGAUGCAGCAACGCCGCGUGAGUGAUGAAGGCCUUCGGGUUGUAAAGCUCUGUCUUCUGGGACGAUAAUGACGGUACCAGAGGAGGAAGCCACGGCUAACUACGUGCCAGCAGCCGCGGUAAUACGUAGGUGGCAAGCGUUGUCCGGAUUUACUGGGCGUAAAGGAUGCGUAGGCGGAUGCUUAAGUCAGAAGUGAAAGCCCCGGGCUCAACCUGGGAAUAGCUUUUGAUACUGGCAGGCUUGAGCUCCGGAGAGGAUGGUGGAAUUCCCAGUGUAGAGGUGAAAUUCGUAGAUAUUGGGAAGAACACCGGUGGCGAAGGCGGCCAUCUGGACGGACACUGACGCUGAGGCGCGAAAGCGUGGGGAGCAAACA